RNAcentral lists this ribosomal RNA (736 nucleotides) under Salmonella enterica. RNAcentral's name for it is "partial 23S ribosomal RNA". It matches the Rfam family "Bacterial large subunit ribosomal RNA", at positions 1 to 668 of the family's 2925-position model. Lineage: Bacteria; Pseudomonadati; Pseudomonadota; Gammaproteobacteria; Enterobacterales; Enterobacteriaceae. The record is from RNAcentral.
GGGUUGUGAGGUUAAGCGACUAAGCGUACACGGUGGAUGCCCUGGCAGUCAGAGGCGAUGAAGGGCGUGCUAAUCUGCGAUAAGCGCCGGUAAGGUGAUAUGAACCGUUAUAACCGGCGAUACCCGAAUGGGGAAACCCAGUGUGACUCGUCACACUAUCAUUAACUGAAUCCAUAGGUUAAUGAGGCGAACCGGGGGAACUGAAACAUCUAAGUACCCCGAGGAAAAGAAAUCAACCGAGAUUCCCCCAGUAGCGGCGAGCGAACGGGGAGGAGCCCAGAGCCUGAAUCAGCAUGUGUGUUAGUGGAAGCGUCUGGAAAGGCGCGCGAUACAGGGUGACAGCCCCGUACACAAAAGCGCAUAUGCUGUGAGCUCGAUGAGUAGGGCGGGACACGUGGUAUCCUGUCUGAAUAUGGGGGGACCAUCCUCCAAGGCUAAAUACUCCUGACUGACCGAUAGUGAACCAGUACCGUGAGGGAAAGGCGAAAAGAACCCCGGCGAGGGGAGUGAAAAAGAACCUGAAACCGUGUACGUACAAGCAGUGGGAGCCCCACCACCAAAGCAUUCUCUGGUGUUGAAGGCCCUGCAAAGCAGCAUCGCGGUGGCGGAGCGUCGUUUGCGACGCCCAACACACAAAACAAGCGGUGAGUGCUUUGGGGUGGGGUGACUGCGUACCUUUUGUAUAAUGGGUCAGCGACUUAUAUUCUGUAGCAAGGUUAACCGUAUAGGGGAGCCG